CAAUUCACCUCAUUCCAGAAUUUUCUUUUCUUUGAUAUUUAUUUAUGUUUGUCCUUUCCAAUUUUAAACCCUACAAAAAUGUUGAAAAUUUCAAUGUUUGCUUCCAACAAAGUAGAAAAAACUUCACUCCCUGUCUCCCAACUUCUGCAGAUUUCAAGUGUUUAUACUUUAUAUCCAUAGAGAUUCAUCCGAAGAUUGUUUGACGAUGAGAGAGAGCACGCUUGUUAGCGAUUAUGCAAGUAUAUUAACAUGAUUGUGUAUAUGCGUGCUCUCUGUCAUUGUCAUAUAAUCUAAUGAUGGAGGCAAUUUCAUUAUUUCUUCUCGUCGUGGAUGGGAGGAUGUCAGCAGAGAACUGUCACAGGAUCGAGUAUCAUCUUUCUACCCUUUGAUUGGAGAACAAUUACAGUUUAUACCCUUUAAUAAAAUGGCAAUGUGAUGCAAGGUUUGGCGUGCGUCAUCCCCAAGAAUUGAUCAGCAUAUCAAGUUGACAUUUAUUUGUGUCAAUGUGAUAGAAGGGUGAUGAGUUGAUGAUUUGAAUCUGCAAACAGUUAAGUUCAGUCAAGCGACAAUUGACUAACAUGCUGCUGGUCUCUAGAGACCGGAGUGAAAAAUAUAUGUUCCGAUGAUCACUGGUGGUGCAUACCCUUACUUCUGUUUCCUAUAAUUAUGUGAUUGUGUAAUGAUGUUACUCUUUUGUUACAUGUUACAGUUACUAGGGUUUGUAGAUAUACAAUUGAAAGAGCAGCUUGAUCGAUCUGGCUCUUUUGCGGUGGAUUUUCCUCUCAUGUUCUGGUCGACUCUUUAUUUUUCUUUUGUUGAUUUUAUGAUCUAUUAAGUCUCUUCUAUUGCGCUUGAAUAGCCACACGCCCACACCUAUGAUUAUUUGCUCAUCAUCGAACUGCUCCAAGUUUACGAAACCUAGGCUUGUUUAAAAGGGCAUAAAUAAAGCAUUAAUAUUUCGUCAUUGGUCAUCAUUAUCUAGAGAUUAAGGUUGUUUGAAAUUAAGGCUUAGGCAUUGUUGUGGUUAGUUGUCUGAUCAAUGUAAGAUUGUUUUAUGACUACGCUUUUAAAUUUAAUUAGUAGAUCCGAGACACCUUUUUUGUUAUUACGUGUGUAAGAUUGUGUUUUGUGUAUUCAUUCUCUUAAACCACAUUGGAGUAAUGAAAUGUUAUAGUUUUAAGUUUAUU
This is a long non-coding RNA of Amaranthus tricolor (Joseph's coat), 1187 nucleotides long. RefSeq lists it as uncharacterized. The record is from RefSeq and is a predicted model, not a curated record. Lineage: Eukaryota; Viridiplantae; Streptophyta; Magnoliopsida; Caryophyllales; Amaranthaceae. The transcript is spliced from 3 exons.